Molecule: non-coding RNA, 214 nt
Filed under: Roseobacter sp. SK209-2-6
Lineage: Bacteria; Pseudomonadati; Pseudomonadota; Alphaproteobacteria; Rhodobacterales; Roseobacteraceae
Also listed under: 1 other name
Source: RNAcentral
CAUUUAGCCAAAGUGACUGGUUCUACGAGUGCUUCAAUGCGCAGUGGAAGAAAUAGGGAACACGGUGCGGCGUACCCAAAAGGGACCAAAUCCGUGACUGCCCCCGCAACUGUGAGCGGUGAGUGACGCUGAACAAGCCACUGGGGUUCUCCCGGGAAGGCCAGCUGAACCAAGACCCGUGAGUCAGGAGACCUGCCGGACACAAAGAACGAUA